AAUUUAAAUGAGAUUUAAUUUUCGGAUUAACUCGAAUUUAGAUCCAACAAGGAGGGCUAAGUCGUCACAAGGUAUCCGUAGGGGAACCUGCGGAUGGAUCACCUCCU
RNAcentral lists this ribosomal RNA (107 nucleotides) under Candidatus Woesearchaeota archaeon. Its description in RNAcentral is "partial 16S ribosomal RNA". It matches the Rfam family "Archaeal small subunit ribosomal RNA", at positions 1370 to 1478 of the family's 1478-position model. The record is from RNAcentral. Lineage: Archaea; Nanobdellati; Candidatus Woesearchaeota.